GAUGAACGCUGGCGGCGUGCCUAAUACAUGCAAGUCGAGCGAACAGACGAGGAGCUUGCUCCUCUGACGUUAGCGGCGGACGGGUGAGUAACACGUGGAUAACCUACCUAUAAGACUGGGAUAACUUCGGGAAACCGGAGCUAAUACCGGAUAAUAUAUUGAACCGCAUGGUUCAAUAGUGAAAGACGGCUUUGCUGUCACUUAUAGAUGGAUCCGCGCCGCAUGAGCUAGUUGGUAAGGUAACGGCUUACCAAGGCGACGAUGCGUAGCCGACCGGAGAGGGUGAUCGGCCACACUGGAACUGAGACACGGUCCAGACGCCUACGGGAGGCAGCAGUAGGGAAUCUUCCGCAAUGGGCGAAAGCCUGACGGAGCAACGCCGCGUGAGUGAUGAAGGUCUUCGGAUCGUAAAACUCUGUUAUUAGGGAAGAACAAAUGUGUAAGUAACUAUGCACGUCUUGACGGUACCUAAUCAGAAAGCCACGGCUAACUACGUG
Molecule: ribosomal RNA, 497 nt
Filed under: uncultured bacterium
Lineage: Bacteria
Description: partial 16S ribosomal RNA
Rfam family: Bacterial small subunit ribosomal RNA
Source: RNAcentral